Regulatory RNA element from Pseudoruegeria aquimaris, 54 nucleotides. It matches the Rfam family "COG3860 RNA". Lineage: Bacteria; Pseudomonadati; Pseudomonadota; Alphaproteobacteria; Rhodobacterales; Roseobacteraceae. The record is from Rfam.
GGGUCCGCAGUUCACCCAGUCGUCGCCGGCGCAUGCGCCACGCUAAACCUGUGA